This 317-nucleotide long non-coding RNA is filed under the name Fukomys damarensis (Damara mole-rat). RNAcentral describes it as "lncRNA (ENSFDAG00000030670.1)". The record is from RNAcentral. Lineage: Eukaryota; Metazoa; Chordata; Mammalia; Rodentia; Bathyergidae.
AGAGCUGCAACUGACUUGACGCCGGAGACCGCUGCUUCCCCUGCUCAAGCAUUCAAGUGAAUCUGGCACCCAGGAAUAACAAUGAGAAAGCACAAAGACCACCACUUCAGCCUGGUGUUCACGAUGGACAUGGGCCAGAGGAGUUUGGCGUUACAGACGGCAGCCCUUCACACAGAAGGUGCAACCACUGUCACUGUGCACCUCAUCGGUGGCCUGUCCACCCACCCGGGAAGCUUGAGAUUGCAUCAAGGAAGCAGAGCCCUCCACACGGGACACGGCCGCAGAGAAGCACCCAGAACUCUGCCCACCCUCACCAC